ACUUUCAACUGAUGAAACAAAGAGCAGUUGAAAGCGACUAGAGCUCAAGUCUGACAAAUCACAUGGAUUGAAAAUCACAUGGAUCGAAUUACACUAAAAUAGACAUGGAAGCCUAAUUAGGAAAAUAAAGAAGAAGCAGAAACAUACUUAUCUCAUGCAAUGCAAUCUGGAUCAAAUCAAGAUGAUGGUCAAAGAUGAAG
Molecule: long non-coding RNA, 200 nt
Filed under: Daucus carota (carrot)
Lineage: Eukaryota; Viridiplantae; Streptophyta; Magnoliopsida; Apiales; Apiaceae
Description: long non-coding RNA (DCAR_LNC000117)
Source: RNAcentral